GAUGAACGCUGGCUACAGGCUUAACACAUGCAAGUCGAGGGGAAACGACGGGGAAGCUUGCUUCCCCGGGCGUCGACCGGCGCACGGGUGAGUAACGCGUAUCCAACCUGCCUCUGACUGAGGGAUAACCCGUCGAAAGUCGGCCUAAUACCUCAUGGUAUCGUCUGCGGGCAUCCAACGACGAUUAAAGAUUUCAUCGGUCAGGGAUGGGGAUGCGUCUGAUUAGCUUGUUGGCGGGGUAACGGCCCACCAAGGCUACGAUCAGUAGGGGUUCUGAGAGGAAGGUCCCCCACAUUGGAACUGGGACACGGUCCAAACUCCUACGGGAGGCAGCAGUGCGGAAUAUUGGUCAAUGGGCGAGAGCCUGAACCAGCCAAGUAGCGUGCAGGAAGACGGCCCUAUGGGUUGUAAACUGCUUUUAUGCGGGGAUAAAGUGAGGGACGUGUCCCUCAUUGCAGGUACCGCAUGAAUAAGGACCGGCUAAUUCCGUG
RNAcentral lists this ribosomal RNA (491 nucleotides) under uncultured bacterium. Its description in RNAcentral is "partial 16S ribosomal RNA". It matches the Rfam family "Bacterial small subunit ribosomal RNA", at positions 28 to 507 of the family's 1533-position model. The record is from RNAcentral.